RNAcentral lists this ribosomal RNA (271 nucleotides) under Chromobacterium haemolyticum. Its description in RNAcentral is "partial 16S ribosomal RNA". It matches the Rfam family "Bacterial small subunit ribosomal RNA", at positions 1 to 274 of the family's 1533-position model. The record is from RNAcentral. Lineage: Bacteria; Pseudomonadati; Pseudomonadota; Betaproteobacteria; Neisseriales; Chromobacteriaceae.
GAACUGAAGAGUUUGAUCCUGGCUCAGAUUGAACGCUGGCGGCAUGCUUUACACAUGCAAGUCGAACGGUAACAGGGUGCUUGCACCGCUGACGAGUGGCGAACGGGUGAGUAACGCAUCGGAAUGUACCGUGUAAUGGGGGAUAGCUCGGCGAAAGCCGGAUUAAUACCGCAUACGCCCUGAGGGGGAAAGUGGGGGACCGUAAGGCCUCACGUUAUACGAGCAGCCGAUGUCUGAUUAGCUAGUUGGUGGGGUAAAGGCUCACCAAGGC